Molecule: ribosomal RNA, 469 nt
Filed under: uncultured bacterium
Lineage: Bacteria
Description: partial 16S ribosomal RNA
Rfam family: Bacterial small subunit ribosomal RNA
Source: RNAcentral
GACGAACGCUGGCGGCGUGCUUAACACAUGCAAGUCGAACGGAAAGGCCCUGCUUGCGGGGUGCUCGGGUGGGGAACGGGCGAGUAACACGUGGGUGAGGAGCCCGUUACUGUGGGGGAGGCCACGUAAAGUGGGGCUAGUACAGGAUAGGACCAAGCUGUAGGUGGAGGGGUGGAGAGAGAAGGUUCGGUUAGGGAUGAGCUCGCGGAGUAUCAGCUUGUUGGUGGGGGAAUGGCCUACCAAGGCGUCGACGGGUAGCCGCCCUGAGAGGGUGGACGGCCGCCUUGGGCCUCUGCUGCGGCCCAGAGUCCUACGGCUGGCGGCAGUGGGGAAAGUCGCACCGUGCGCGGCCGCCUGAUGCAGCGACGUCGCCUGGGGGUUGACGGCCUUCGGGUUGUAAACUCCUUGCAGCCAUGACGAAGCCCUUGUGGUGACGGUAGUGGUAGAAGAAGCACCGGCUAACUACGUG